UAUAUUCUUUUUAACCGACUUCCAAAAAAGGAGGAGGUUCUCAAUUCGACUGUAUUUUUUUUAUGUAUGUUACAUCAGAACUUUUGACCGGGUAGACCGAUUUCGACAAUUUUUUUAUUAAUCGAAAGGUGGUGUGUGUCAAUUAGUUCCAUUUAAAUUUAUUUGAGAUCUAACAACUACUUUUCGAGUUAUAUCUAAUAAUGCGUUUUUACUUGACGCUUUUUUC
This 226-nucleotide unclassified non-coding RNA is filed under the name Melitaea cinxia (Glanville fritillary). Its description in RNAcentral is "misc RNA ENSMCXG00005014498.1". Lineage: Eukaryota; Metazoa; Arthropoda; Insecta; Lepidoptera; Nymphalidae. The record is from RNAcentral.